Chinchilla lanigera (long-tailed chinchilla) is the source of this 1672-nucleotide long non-coding RNA. RefSeq lists it as uncharacterized. The transcript has 5 exons. NCBI's taxonomy places the organism in Eukaryota, Metazoa, Chordata, Mammalia, Rodentia, Chinchillidae. The record is from RefSeq and is a predicted model, not a curated record.
GGAUGUUCACAGAGGGGGGACCGAGCUCCACACACUACUGUGCACACAGUGCUUUUGGCACUGUCCUAUGUUCCACCUGACAGGGGACACGGGCCUAAACCCAGCCUCCUUAAGGACAAGCCAGGUCCAGCAACCUCACUGCCCAUGGUAACUCCAGCAGGAACAGAGGCCUGUCUCCCCCAAGCUCUUGGGUGCCCACAGCUCCCAGCCACCAGGCCUGUCUCAGGGUAAGGACCCUGCUCCUGCAGACCACUCCUGAGGACUGCUUCAGGAGACCCCGCCUUGCUGCACAGAGGGGAAGCAGGCUCCUGGGGACAGAGCUAUACCCCUGCUGGAGCCUAGGAGGAGGACCGGCUGCUGGCUAUGUCCACCCUCGAGGACACACCCAUCACCCAGGGUCAGCAGACAUCUGCAUAGUUAUGUCCUGCCUAGUGACUGGGACACAUCUGAGUGGGGGGUCCUUAAGGGUUCACUCUGUGACGUCAUAGAGAACAUACACAAGCAGAGGCAGCAUCAGCAUCACAACCCUGUCAUCUUAGGGAUGCCUGUGCACCCCGUCCAUCCUUGCCAGGAACACCUUGGGGCUCAGGACUGCACCCAGCUGGGCGGACCCUAAUAAGCACAGGUCAGGAGCACAGAGCAGCUGCUCCAGGGAAGAGGAGGCUGAGUCAGGACAGGCUGCAGGGCACAGAAAUGUCCUCAGUGGGCAUCAGCCACCCUGCAUGAGGCUCUGUGGGCGACUGAGUGUGAAUGUGGCUUCCUGAAGUCAGCCUGGUCCUGGAUGUGGAGAGCAGGUCCUUGUGGAGAGGACACGGGCAGCAGGGAAUCACAUGCCAAAGCCAGGGCUCAGGACGGAGCAGGCCUGGCUGGAAUCGGGCCCAGAAGAGGAGCGAGUGCAGGGCUCCGGACAGAGAGCUGGACCCUUUCUCCACCAACCCCACCCUCUCUGCCUGACAGUAACCCAGGCCAGUGACUCCAGAGUGAAGGUGGCCAGCUUUCCUGUGUCCCUGGACCCCAGAUCUGCUCUGUGCUGCCUGAGUUGGGAAGGUGGGAUCCACAGGAAUCAAAAGGUUCCCAAUUCUAGAAUCCAGAGGAAGUGAAGAAUUAAUCUAGAUCCGUGUCUCCCAAUUUGUCUGCAGAGGACUCAAUUUCUGAAGGUGCCACUCAGGUGCUAUGCCCUCUCCCUGAAAACAAAGGGCCCAAAGAUCAAAGUCAUCUGUGAGAGUUGAAAAAGAUUUAAUCAACUUCUGUAUUGCAGGCAAAUUUUGCAAAUGAAGAAAAGGCAGAAAGAAGAGAGGGAAGUAAAGAAGGACAUGAGUAAAAGAGUGUUUUUGGCAAGAUAAGAUCUGUCUGGUAAGAAGUUGACCUGCCAGAAAGUAAAAAGAAAGAUGAGGAAAGGAGAUCCAAAGCCCUUCUCUGAUUUUUGUUACUACUGUUGAAGAUGUCUUAAGUACAAAAUCACUUGAUUACAGCUAUACUACAGAGGCAUUCUGAAUUUUGCCUUAAAAGUGAAAAGUUAAGUUGAUAUGUAAAUCUUUCUAUAUAACUGUGCUGCUGUUUGUUCGUGACUUCCUUGUAUGUCAAAUGCAUGUCACUCCCUAAGUGUACAAGCCUUCUAAAAUAUAGAAUUGAGGAAAAACACCUUGAUGUAUUGGUUCCCACCCCCAGGACC